RNAcentral lists this unclassified non-coding RNA (192 nucleotides) under Glomus sp. Its description in RNAcentral is "partial contains 5.8S ribosomal RNA and internal transcribed spacer 2". The stretch from base 1 to 65 matches the Rfam family "5.8S ribosomal RNA", at positions 84 to 154 of the family's 154-position model. Lineage: Eukaryota; Fungi; Glomeromycota; Glomeromycetes; Glomerales; Glomeraceae. The record is from RNAcentral.
GUGAAUCAUCGAAUUUUUGAACGCAAAUUGCACUCUCUUCGGAGAGUAUGCCUGUUUGAGGGUCAGCCUAAAAAAAAUUGACAUAGUCGCUUUUUCGCGGUGGCAUUCGUCGGAAAUUGGGACAUCUUUAACCUUUGGGUUUUUAGCGUCUUAAUAUUUUAUUUAGGAUUACAGGAUCGUUUUUAAGAUUUA